This 192-nucleotide unclassified non-coding RNA is filed under the name plant metagenome. Its description in RNAcentral is "partial contains small subunit ribosomal RNA and internal transcribed spacer 1". The stretch from base 1 to 46 matches the Rfam family "Eukaryotic small subunit ribosomal RNA", at positions 1786 to 1831 of the family's 1831-position model. The record is from RNAcentral.
AAGUCGUAACAAGGUCUCCGUAGGUGAACCUGCGGAGGGAGCAUUACCGAGCGAGGGUCUCCGGGCCCGACCUCCAACCCUUUGUUCUCCGACUCCGUUUCCUCGGGGGCCGACCCGUCUGGGGCCCCCGGGUGGACCAACCAAUAACUCUGCAUCAUUGCGUCCGAGUCACCCUUUGAAUUAAAUCAAAAG